CCUGCACGAAUGGCGUAAUGAUGGCCAGGCUGUCUCCACCCGAGACUCAGUGAAAUUGAACUCGCUGUGAAGAUGCAGUGUACCCGCGGCAAGACGGAAAGACCCCGUGAACCUUUACUAUAGCUUGACACUGAACAUUGAGCCUUGAUGUGUAGGAUAGGUGGGAGGCUUUGAAGUGUGGACGCCAGUCUGCAUGGAGCCGACCUUGAAAUACCACCCUUUAAUGUUUGAUGUUCUAACGUGGACCCGUGAUCCGGGUUGCGGACAGUGUCUGGUGGGUAGUUUGACUGGGGCGGUCUCCUCCUAAAGAGUAACGGAGGAGCACGAAGGUUGGCUAAUCCUGGUCGGACAUCAGGAGGUUAGUGCAAUGGCAUAAGCCAGCUUGACUGCGAGCGUGACGGCGCGAGCAGGUGCGAAAGCAGGUCAUAGUGAUCCGGUGGUUCUGAAUGGAAGGGCCAUCGCUCAACGGAUAAAAGGUACUCCGGGGAUAACAGGCUGAUACCGCCCAAGAGUUCAUAUCGACGGCGGUGUUUGGCACCUCGAUGUCGGCUCAUCACAUCCUGGGGCUGAAGUAGGUCCCAAGGGUAUGGCUGUUCGCCAUUUAAAGUGGUACGCGAGCUGGGUUUAGAACGUCGUGAGACAGUUCGGUCCCUAUCUGCCGUGGGCGCUGGAGAACUGAGGGGGGCUGCUCCUAGUACGAGAGGACCGGAGUGGACGCAUCACUGG
This 726-nucleotide ribosomal RNA is filed under the name Salmonella enterica subsp. enterica serovar Newport. RNAcentral describes it as "bacterial LSU rRNA". It matches the Rfam family "Bacterial large subunit ribosomal RNA", at positions 1987 to 2712 of the family's 2925-position model. The record is from RNAcentral. Lineage: Bacteria; Pseudomonadati; Pseudomonadota; Gammaproteobacteria; Enterobacterales; Enterobacteriaceae.